This 801-nucleotide long non-coding RNA is filed under the name Homo sapiens (human). RNAcentral describes it as "long non-coding RNA NONHSAT199997.1". Lineage: Eukaryota; Metazoa; Chordata; Mammalia; Primates; Hominidae. The record is from RNAcentral.
CUGAGUUCUAACAUCCAAGGGCAGAGAAAAAUGGUAUCCCAGCUCCGGAAGACAGAGAGCAAACUAUUUCACAUUGUCUCUGCCUUUUUAUUGUAUCCAGGCGCUCAGCUGAUUGGAUGAUACCUGCUCCCAUUGGGGAUCUCACUAUGUUACUUGGGCUGGUCUCGAACUCCUGGCUUCAAGUGAUCCUCCCAUCUCAAUCUCCCAAAGUGCUGUGACUACAGGUGUGAGUCACUGUGCCAGGCCCAACCUGAAACCUUGACUGCAACUCACCUCAGAGACUGCGACACACUGGCUAUGCCCCAAGUCAUAUGUGGAGAGGGCAGCUUUUCUCAUCCGGCUUGCCAGGGCUCUUCUAAAUUGAACAUAGACAGAAGGAAAAGAAAGGCAUGUUCUGGGAGCUCAGAGUCUUUUGUUACACGUGUCUCGAAGGGUACUAAUACAUCUCCAGUAGCUGUGAUUAUGCCAUGAAAUGUCUCUAAUAAAAAUUACUUUUUGAAAUAACGCAUACAGAGCAGUUUUCAAGCCUCUAUAGAAGUCAUCUUACAGCGAGUCUGAGCCAGUGAAAUGCAGUUAUAGUGAUAUGUGUACUCCCAAGGUAGCUGUCAAUGCUCCUACUCGGAAAUACUCAUAUGUUGCUUCUGACUUGAAGCAGAGGAACUCACAACCUAAGAAGCCACAGGCUUGAAGAUGGCAGAGCACAAGAUGGCAGAAGUUUGGAAUGAAUUACUACUUGAAAGAGAAGCUCUUAUUUACCAAGAAAUAUAUUUUGGAAUUUGCAUGAGUAAGAAAUAAAUCCAA